RNAcentral lists this ribosomal RNA (127 nucleotides) under Pantoea sp. Edef. Its description in RNAcentral is "partial 16S ribosomal RNA". It matches the Rfam family "Bacterial small subunit ribosomal RNA", at positions 1411 to 1533 of the family's 1533-position model. The record is from RNAcentral. Lineage: Bacteria; Pseudomonadati; Pseudomonadota; Gammaproteobacteria; Enterobacterales; Erwiniaceae.
UGGAUUGCAAAAGAAGUAGGUAGCUUAACCUGCUAAAGGAGGGCACUUACCACUUUGUGAUUCAUGACUGGGGUGAAGUCGUAACAAGGUAACCGUAGGGGAACCUGUGGUUGGAUCACCUCCUUAA